AUCCAGAUGACGAGUUCCAAAUAGGACAAAAGGCGAGUCAAACUGGAU
This 48-nucleotide non-coding RNA is filed under the name Schistosoma margrebowiei. Lineage: Eukaryota; Metazoa; Platyhelminthes; Trematoda; Strigeidida; Schistosomatidae. The record is from RNAcentral.